GGUGAACGCUGGCGGCGUGCUUAAGACAUGCAAGUCGAACGGGCUCUUCGGAGCCAGUGGCGCACGGGUGAGUAACGCGUAACUGACCUACCCCAAAGUCGCGGAUAACGAUUCGAAAGAAUCGCUAAUACGUGAUGUGCUGUCAGAUCCUGUUCUGCCAGUAAAGAUUUAUUGCUUUGGGAUGGGGUUGCGUUCCAUCAGCUAGUUGGUGGGGUAAAGGCCCACUAAGGCGACGACGGAUCGCCGGCCUGAGAGGGUGGCCGGCCACAGGGGCACUGAGACACGGGUCCCACUCCUACGGGAGGCAGCAGUUAGGAAUCGUCCACAAUGGGCGAAAGCCUGAUGGAGCGACGCCGCGUGAGGGAUGAAGGUCGUCGGAUCGUAAACCGCUGAAUCAGGGACGAAAGACGCGAAAGCGGGAUGACGGGACCGGAGUAAUAGCACCGGCUAACUCCGUG
Molecule: ribosomal RNA, 458 nt
Filed under: uncultured bacterium
Lineage: Bacteria
Description: partial 16S ribosomal RNA
Rfam family: Bacterial small subunit ribosomal RNA
Source: RNAcentral